AGCAUCUUCAUAACCCGUCCCCCACCUUCUCCAUCAGCCUCACCCCUCACCAUUUCCCUUUGUUUCACGGUCCAGCGGUGUCUGAUUGCUCUCAGCUGAAAGUAGUUAGUGCCUGCUCACACUUUCACACCGGGAACAUGAGGAUCCCCCUGCUGGGACGUGGAAUCUUCCUGUCCCCACGCCUCCUCUUCAGCUCUCAGCCCCUCUGUGAAGCCAUCCUCAGCUCCUCAGGCUGGGCAGAUUCCCCACCAUUGGUCCCCAGAGCACUUGGGCACCCAUCUUCAUAUCAGUGUUUCUCAAACUUUUCCUGAAUGUAAGAUUCAACCACAAUGUCUGAUAAAGAACAGAUUCCAGAACCUCAGCGGUUCCACAGAAGCCUGGCAAUCUGCAUGUUAAACUAGCGGCCUAGGGGAGUCUCAUCUUCCCAAGGGUCUUGGGAUCACUGCUUUGUAUCACAGCACUUCUCUUGCAACGAUUUGAGUUAUCUGCCCUCCACAGCCUACAAUCUGCAUCUGCUCAUGACUGCAUUCCUGGUCACGGCACAUGCUCAAAUCAGGGAAAGAAGCAGAAUAUGAAGGAACGACAAUUCUCAAGCAUAUGUAUGCGUCUUAAGAAGCUUUGGAGAAAUGUUAUCUUUCCCCAGCAGCAUUGAUAUUUUCAUCUGCAAUGAGAAAAGUACAGUUAUACCAAACCAAGAAGUGGGCAAGCAGACAAGACAUGCGCCAUCGUGAUCAGCGGACAAUGACACAUGAAGGGAGGGAGGACUGCAGUCUCAGUUGGCCCUCACUCAGGUAUUAAAAUCUUUAUUAAAACUCUAAGAUAUUUUUAUUGCAUUACUUGUUUAAAAGCUUUAGUGAACAUUCCACGUCACUCAAUUCCUGCUUUUAAAGUGUACAAUGCAGUUUUUAGCAGACUCACAGAGUUGUGUAACCAUAACCAUCAUAAAUUUUAGAACAUUUUUGUCACUCCAGAACAAA
This is a non-coding RNA of Oryctolagus cuniculus (rabbit), 977 nucleotides long. Lineage: Eukaryota; Metazoa; Chordata; Mammalia; Lagomorpha; Leporidae. The record is from RefSeq and is a predicted model, not a curated record.